AACGCACCUUGCGCUCCGUGGUAUUCCGCGGAGCAUGCCUGUUUGAGUGUCGCGCCCCCCUCUCAACCCCUCUGGCGUUUGCGCGCCUGGAGCGGGCUUGGAUCCUGGCCUCUUUCCGCUUCUGAAGCGGAAGGCCGAAAUGCUGUACGCCUCUGGCGGCACGCGGUCUGACCGGAACGUUGUACGCACCUCGUUCUCGGGACGCGCGCCAGGCCUGGGCCGCGAAUCGCGCACUCUAAUGACCUCGACCUCAAAUCAGGCAGGACGACCCGCUGAACUUAA
Molecule: unclassified non-coding RNA, 282 nt
Filed under: uncultured fungus
Lineage: Eukaryota; Fungi
Description: partial contains 5.8S ribosomal RNA, internal transcribed spacer 2, and large subunit ribosomal RNA
Rfam family: 5.8S ribosomal RNA (bases 1-52)
Source: RNAcentral